RNAcentral lists this ribosomal RNA (253 nucleotides) under uncultured bacterium. Its description in RNAcentral is "partial 16S ribosomal RNA". It matches the Rfam family "Bacterial small subunit ribosomal RNA", at positions 524 to 776 of the family's 1533-position model. The record is from RNAcentral.
UACGUAGGGGGCAAGCGUUGUCCGGAAUCAUUGGGCGUAGAGAGCGUGUAGGCGGCUUGGUAAGUCCGCUGUGAAAGUCCAGGGCUCAACCCUGGAAAGCCGGUGGAAACUGUCAAGCUUGAGUCCGGAAGAGGCGAGUGGAAUUCCUGGUGUAGCGGUGAAAUGCGCAGAUAUCAGGAGGAACACCAAUGGCGAAGGCAGCUCGCUGGGACGGUACUGACACUGAGACGCGAAAGCGUGGGGAGCAAACAGG